UACGUAGGGUGCAAGCGUUGUCCGGAAUUAUUGGGCGUAAAGAGCUCGUAGGCGGUCUGUCGCGUCGGCUGUGAAAACCUGGGGCUCAACCCCGGGCUUGCAGCCGAUACGGGCAGACUAGAAUUCGGUAGGGGAGACUGGAAUUCCUGGUGUAGCGGUGAAAUGCGCAGAUAUCAGGAAGAACACCCGUGGCGAAGGCGGCUCUCUGGAACGCAACUGACGCUGAGACGCGAAAGCGUGGGGAGCAAACAGG
RNAcentral lists this ribosomal RNA (253 nucleotides) under uncultured bacterium. RNAcentral's name for it is "partial 16S ribosomal RNA". It matches the Rfam family "Bacterial small subunit ribosomal RNA", at positions 524 to 776 of the family's 1533-position model. The record is from RNAcentral.